This 25-nucleotide non-coding RNA is filed under the name Arabidopsis thaliana (thale cress). Lineage: Eukaryota; Viridiplantae; Streptophyta; Magnoliopsida; Brassicales; Brassicaceae. RNAcentral also lists the same sequence under 6 other names. The record is from RNAcentral.
UAGUGACGCGCAUGAAUGGAUUAAC